AGUAAAAUGGCUGAUAAAAGUGAUAAAUUGUAAAUUUAUUUAUAAGAAAUGUGGAUCUUUUUUACUA
Molecule: transfer RNA, 67 nt
Filed under: Athripsodes aterrimus
Lineage: Eukaryota; Metazoa; Arthropoda; Insecta; Trichoptera; Leptoceridae
Description: tRNA-Tyr
Source: RNAcentral